RNAcentral lists this ribosomal RNA (292 nucleotides) under uncultured bacterium. Its description in RNAcentral is "partial 16S ribosomal RNA". It matches the Rfam family "Bacterial small subunit ribosomal RNA", at positions 775 to 1067 of the family's 1533-position model. The record is from RNAcentral.
GGAUUAGAUACCCUGGUAGUCCAUGCCGUAAACGUUGGGCACUAGGUGUGGGGCCUAUUCCACGGGUUCCGUGCCGUAGCUAACGCAUUAAGUGCCCCGCCUGGGGAGUACGGCCGCAAGGCUAAAACUCAAAGGAAUUGACGGGGGCCCGCACAAGCGGCGGAGCAUGCGGAUUAAUUCGAUGCAACGCGAAGAACCUUACCAAGGCUUGACAUGCACUGGGAGUCACCAGAGAUGGUGGUGUCUUCGGACUGGUGCACAGGUGGUGCAUGGUUGUCGUCAGCUCGUGCCG